This 253-nucleotide ribosomal RNA is filed under the name uncultured bacterium. Its description in RNAcentral is "partial 16S ribosomal RNA". It matches the Rfam family "Bacterial small subunit ribosomal RNA", at positions 524 to 776 of the family's 1533-position model. The record is from RNAcentral.
UACAGAGGUCCCAAGCGUUGUUCGGAUUCACUGGGCGUAAAGGGUGCGCAGGUGGCCGCGCAAGUUCGAUGUGAAAGCCCCGGGCUUAACCCGGGAAUGGCAUUGAAAACUGCGUGGCUGGAGGAUCGGAGGGGGGACUGGAAUUCUUGGUGUAGCAGUGAAAUGCGUAGAUAUCAAGAGGAACACCAGUGGCGAAGGCGAGUCCCUGGACGAUACCUGACACUGAGGCACGAAAGCCAAGGGAGCAAACAGG